GAUGAACGCUGGCGGCGUGCCUAAUACAUGCAAGUCGAGCGAAGCGGGGGCGAGUAAGUACCACGUAGAUGACCUCCUAUAAGAAUGGGAUAACUUCAGGGAACCGGAUCUCAACCGGUUCCUUAUAGGUGGAUCCGCGCUACAUUAGCUAGUUGGUACGGUAACGGCUUACCAAGGCAACGAUGCAUGGCCGACCUGAGAGGGUGAUCGGCCACACUGGAACUGAGACACGGUCCAGACUCCUACGGGAGGCAGCAGUAGGGAAUAUUCCGCAAUGGGCGAAAGCCUGAUGGAGCAACGCCGCGUGAGUGAUGAAGGUCUUCGGAUCGUAAAACUCUGUUAGUAGGGAAGCGGUACCUACUCAGAAAGCACCGGCUAACUACGUGCCAGCAGCCGCGGUAAUAC
This 405-nucleotide ribosomal RNA is filed under the name uncultured bacterium. RNAcentral's name for it is "partial 16S ribosomal RNA". It matches the Rfam family "Bacterial small subunit ribosomal RNA", at positions 28 to 526 of the family's 1533-position model. The record is from RNAcentral.